This 292-nucleotide ribosomal RNA is filed under the name uncultured bacterium. RNAcentral describes it as "partial 16S ribosomal RNA". It matches the Rfam family "Bacterial small subunit ribosomal RNA", at positions 505 to 796 of the family's 1533-position model. The record is from RNAcentral.
GUGUCAGCCGCCGCGGUAAUACGUAGGAUGCAAGCGUUGUCCGGAUUUACUGGGCGUAAAGCGCGCGCAGGCGGCAGCCUAAGUACGGAGUGAAAUCUCCCUGCUCAACGGGGAGGGUGCUCUGUAGACUGGGCAGCUAGAGGACGGUAGAGGGGGGUGGAAUUGCUGGUGUAGCGGUGAAAUGCGUAGAGAUCAGCAGGAACACCCGUGGCGAAGGCGGCCCCCUGGGCCGAACCUGACGCUGAGGCGCGAAGGCUAGGGGAGCGAACGGGAUUAGAUACCCCCGUAGUCC